GACGAACGCUGGCGGCGCGCCUAACACAUGCAAGUCGAGCGGAGUAAAGAUUUCGGUUUUUACUUAGCGGCGGACGGGUGAGUAACGCGUGAGUAACCUGCCCUUCAGCGGGGGAUAGCGUCUGGAAACGGACGGUAAUACCGCAUAACGUAUCGAGAAGACAUCUUCAUGAUACCAAAGGAUUUAUUCACUGAAGGAUGGACUCGCGUCCGAUUAGGUAGUUGGUGAGGUAACGGCCCACCAAGCCCACGAUCGGUAGCCGGACUGAGAGGUUGAUCGGCCACAUUGGGACUGAGACACGGCCCAGACUCCUACGGGAGGCAGCAGUGGGGGAUAUUGCACAAUGGAGGAAACUCUGAUGCAGCGACGCCGCGUGAGGGAAGAAGGUCUUCGGAUUGUAAACCUCUGUCUUUGGGGACGAAUAAUGACGGUACCCAAAGAGGAAGCCACGGCUAACUACGUGCCUGCAGCCGCGGUAAUACGUAGGUGGCGAGCGUUGUCCGGAUUUACUGGGUGUAAAGGGUGCGCAGGCGGGAUGGCAAGUUGGGUGUGAAAUCUCCGUGCUUAACACGGAGCCUGCACUCAAAACUGCUGUUCUUGAGUGAGGUAGAGGUAGGCGGAAUUCCCGGUGUAGCGGUGAAAUGCGUAGAGAUCGGGAGGAACACCAGUGGCGAAGGCGGCCUACUGGGCCUUUACUGACGCUGAUGCACGAAAGC
RNAcentral lists this ribosomal RNA (716 nucleotides) under uncultured bacterium. RNAcentral describes it as "bacterial SSU rRNA". It matches the Rfam family "Bacterial small subunit ribosomal RNA", at positions 28 to 760 of the family's 1533-position model. The record is from RNAcentral.